RNAcentral lists this ribosomal RNA (767 nucleotides) under uncultured bacterium. Its description in RNAcentral is "bacterial SSU rRNA". It matches the Rfam family "Bacterial small subunit ribosomal RNA", at positions 9 to 761 of the family's 1533-position model. The record is from RNAcentral.
GAGUUUGAUCCUGGCUCAGGACGAACGCUGGCGGCGUGCCUAAUACAUGCAAGUAGAACGCUGAAGGAGGAGCUUGCUCUUCUGGAUGAGUUGCGAACGGGUGAGCAACGCGUAGGUAACCUGCCUGGUGGCGGGGGAUAACUAUUGGAAACGAUAGCUAAUACCGCAUAACAUUGACUAUUGCAUGAUAGUCAAUUGAGAGGUGCAAAUGCACCACUACCAGAUGGACCUGCGUUGUAUUAGCUAGUUGGUGGGGUAACGGCUCACCAAGGCGACGAUACAUAGCCGACCUGAGAGGGUGAUCGGCUACACUGGGACUGAGACACGGCCCAGACUCCUACGGGAGGCAGCAGUAGGGAAUCUUCGGCAAUGGACGGAAGUCUGACCGAGCAACGCCGCGUGAGUGAAGAAGGUUUUCGGAUCGUAAAGCUCUGUUGUAAGAGAAGAACGAGUGUGAGAGUGGAAAAUUCACGCUGUGACGGUAUCUUACCAGAAAGGGACGGCUAACUACGUGCCAGCAGCCGCGGUAAUACGUAGGUCCCGAGCGUUGUCCGGAUUUAUUGGGCGUAAAGCGAGCGCAGGCGGUUAGAUAAGUCUGAAGUUAAAGGCUGUGGCUUAACCAUAGUACGCUUUGGAAACUGUUUAACUUGAGUGCAGAAGGGGAGAGUGGAAUUCCAUGUGUAGCGGUGAAAUGCGUAGAUAUAUGGAGGAACACCGGUGGCGAAAGCGGCUCUCUGGUCUGUAACUGACGCUGAGGCUCGAAAGCG